Molecule: ribosomal RNA, 253 nt
Filed under: uncultured bacterium
Lineage: Bacteria
Description: partial 16S ribosomal RNA
Rfam family: Bacterial small subunit ribosomal RNA
Source: RNAcentral
UACGUAGGGUGCAAGCGUUAAUCGGAAUUACUGGGCGUAAAGCGUGCGCAGGCGGUUGUUUAAGUCAGCUGUGAAAUCCCCGGGCUUAACCUGGGAAUGGCAGUUGAGACUGGGCAGCUGGAGUGUGUCAGAGGGGGGUAGAAUUCCACGUGUAGCAGUGAAAUGCGUAGAGAUGUGGAGGAAUACCGAUGGCGAAGGCAGCCCCCUGGGAUAACACUGACGCUCAUGCACGAAAGCGUGGGGAGCAAACAGG